This 357-nucleotide RNase P RNA is filed under the name marine eukaryotic metagenome. RNAcentral describes it as "Bacterial RNase P class A". It matches the Rfam family "Bacterial RNase P class A". Rfam says of the family: Ribonuclease P (RNase P) is a ubiquitous endoribonuclease, found in archaea, bacteria and eukarya as well as chloroplasts and mitochondria. Its best characterised activity is the generation of mature 5'-ends of tRNAs by cleaving the 5'-leader elements of precursor-tRNAs. The record is from RNAcentral.
GCAGGAGGAACAGUCGCGCAUUAAAUGAGAGUUUAAUGUGAGGAAAGUCCGAGCUCCACAGAAUUACGAUGCCCGGUAACACCGGGGCGGAGAGAUCCGACAGAUUAGUGCCACAGAAAACAAACCGCCCGCUUUGGCGGGUAAGGGUGAAAACGUGGUGUAAGAGACCACGAACAAUAGUAGUAAUAUUGUUGUUGGUAAACCUCAUCGGGAGCAAGACCAAAUAGGGGAAGAAGGAGUUAAUUCGCUCCGUUUGAUUCCCGGGUAGGCUGCAUGAGCAGUUUCAGGUAACUGGCUGCCAAGAUAAAUGGCUGUUAUUCGCCUUGGCGAAAUACAGAACUCGGCUUAUACUCCUGC